UGGAUUAGUGGCGANCNGGUGAGUAACACGUGGGCAAUCUGCCCUUCACUCUGGGACAAGCCCUGGAAACGGGGUCUAAUACCGGAUAACACCCUCGCGGGCAUCUGCGAGGGUUGAAAGCUCCGGCGGUGAAGGAUGAGCCCGCGGCCUAUCAGCUUGUUGGUGAGGUAAUGGCUCACCAAGGCGACGACGGGUAGCCGGCCUGAGAGGGCGACCGGCCACACUGGGACUGAGACACGGCCCAGACUCCUACGGGAGGCAGCAGUGGGGAAUAUUGCACAAUGGGCGAAAGCCUGAUGCAGCGACGCCGCGUGAGGGAUGACGGCCUUCGGGUUGUAACCUCUUUCAGCAGGGAAAAAGCGAGAGUGACGGUACCUGCAAAAAAACGCCGGCUAACUACGUGCCAGCAGCCGCGGUAAUACGUANGGGGCAAGCGUUNUCCGGAAUUAUUGGGCGUAAAAAGNUNUUANGCGNCUUNUCACCUCNAUUUGGAAAACCCC
Molecule: ribosomal RNA, 500 nt
Filed under: Streptomyces sp. SP-2
Lineage: Bacteria; Bacillati; Actinomycetota; Actinomycetes; Kitasatosporales; Streptomycetaceae
Description: bacterial SSU rRNA
Rfam family: Bacterial small subunit ribosomal RNA
Source: RNAcentral